This 141-nucleotide ribosomal RNA is filed under the name uncultured bacterium. Its description in RNAcentral is "partial 16S rRNA". It matches the Rfam family "Bacterial small subunit ribosomal RNA", at positions 355 to 511 of the family's 1533-position model. The record is from RNAcentral.
UGGGGAAUUUUCCGCAAUGGGCGAUAGCCUGACGGAGCAAUGCCGCGUGGAUCUCGAAGGCCUACGGGUCGUCAACUUCUUUUCUCGGAGAAGAAACAAUGACGGUAUCUGAGGAAUAAGCAUCGGCUAACUCUGUGCCAG